GAUGAACGCUGGCGGCGUGCCUAAUACAUGCAAGUCGAGCGAACAGACGAGGAGCUUGCUCCUCUGACGUUAGCGGCGGACGGGUGAGUAACACGUGGAUAACCUACCUAUAAGACUGGGAUAACUUCGGGAAACCGGAGCUAAUACCGGAUAAUAUAUUGAACCGCAUGGUUCAAUAGUGAAAGACGGUUUUGCUGUCACUUAUAGAUGGAUCCGCGCCGCAUUAGCUAGUUGGUAAGGUAACGGCUUACCAAGGCAACGGUGCGUAGCCGACCUGAGAGGGUGAUCGGCCACACUGGAACUGAGACACGGUCCAGACUCCUACGGGAGGCAGCAGUAGGGAAUCUUCCGCAAUGGGCGAGAGCCUGACGGAGCAACGCCGCGUGAGUGAUGAAGGUCUUCUGAUCGUAAAACUCUGUUAUUAGGGAAGAACAAAUGUGUAAGUAACUAUGCACGUCUUGACGGUACCUAAUCAGAAAGCCACGGCUAACUACGUG
RNAcentral lists this ribosomal RNA (497 nucleotides) under uncultured bacterium. Its description in RNAcentral is "partial 16S ribosomal RNA". It matches the Rfam family "Bacterial small subunit ribosomal RNA", at positions 28 to 507 of the family's 1533-position model. The record is from RNAcentral.